AAAGAUUAAGCCAUGCAUGUCUAAGUAUAAGCAAUUAUACGCGAAACUGCGAAUGGCUCAUUAAAUCAGUUAUCGUUUAUUUGAUAGUAUCUUCCUACAUGGAUAACCGUGGUAAUUCUAGGGCUAAUACAUGCUAAAAAUCCCGACUUCGGAAGGGAUGCAUUUAUUGGAUACAGAACCAACGCCCUCUGUGGCUCAUUGGUGAAUCACAAUAACUCCGCGGAUCGCACGGCCUUGCGCCGGCGAUGGUUCAUUCAAAUUUCUGCCCUAUCAACUUUCGACGGCUGGGUCUUGGCCAGCCGUGGUGACAACGGGUAACGGAGGGUUAGGGCUCGACCCCGGAGAAGGAGCCUGAGAGACGGCUACUACAUCCAAGGAAGGCAGCAGGCGCGCAAAUUACCCAAUCCCGAUACGGGGAGGUAGUGACAAUAAAUACUGAUCCAGGGCUCUUUUGGGUCUUGGAAUUGGAAUGAGUACAAUUUAAAUCCCUUAACGAGGAACAAUUGGAGGGCAAGUCUGGUGCCAGCAGCCGCGGUAAUUCCAGCUCCAAUAGCGUAUAUUAAAGUUGUUGAGGUUAAAAAGCUCGUAGUUGAACCUUGGGCCUGGCUGGCCGGUCCGCCUCACCGCGUGCACUGGUCCGGCCGGGCCUUUCCCUCUGGGGAACCGCAUGCCCUUCACUGGGUGUGUCGGGGAACCAGGACUUUUACUGUGAGCAAAUCAGAUCGCUCAAAGAAGGCUCUCGCUCGGAUGCUUUAGCAUGGAAUAAUGGAAUAGGACGUGUGGUCUUAUUUUGUUGGUUUCUAGGACCGCCGUAAUGAUUAAUAGGGACAGUCGGGGGCAUCCGUAUUCCAUCGUCAGAGGUGAAAUUCUUGGAUCGAUGGAAGACGAACUACUGCGAAAGCAUUUGCCAAGGAUGUUUUCAUUAAUCAGGAACGAAAGUUAGGGGAUCGAAGACGAUCAGAUACCGUCGUAGUCUUAACCAUAAACUAUGCCGAUUAGGGAUCGGACGAUGUUUUUUUUUGACUC
RNAcentral lists this ribosomal RNA (1026 nucleotides) under Paliphora intermedia. RNAcentral describes it as "SSU rRNA". It matches the Rfam family "Eukaryotic small subunit ribosomal RNA", at positions 39 to 1077 of the family's 1831-position model. Lineage: Eukaryota; Fungi; Ascomycota; Sordariomycetes; Chaetosphaeriales. The record is from RNAcentral.